CCUACGGGUGGCAGCAGUGAGGAAUAUUGGUCAAUGGCCGGAAGGCUGAACCAGCAAUGCCGCGUGAAGGUCAGUGCCCUAUGGGCGUUAAACUUCUUUUGUGCGGGAGCAAUAAUGGUCACGUGUGGCCAGACGAGAGUACCGUACGAAUAAGCAUCGGCUAACUCCGUGCCAGCAGCGGCGGUAAUACGGGGGAUGCAAGCGCUAUCCGGAUUUCUUGGGUUUAAAGGGUGCGUAGGCUGUGAGGUAAGUCAGCGGUGAAAUGCCCCCGCUCAACGGGGUGAAGUGCCCUUGAUACUGUCUGGCUUGAAUGCGGAUGCGGUGGGAGGAAUGUGUGGUGUAGCGGUGAAAUGCAUAGAUAUUAGACAGAACACCGAUUGCGAAGGCAGCUGACGAAUCCGCGAUUGACGCUGAUGCACGAAAGCGUGGGGAUCAAACAGGAUUAGAUACCCUUGUAGUC
This 460-nucleotide ribosomal RNA is filed under the name uncultured bacterium. Its description in RNAcentral is "partial 16S ribosomal RNA". It matches the Rfam family "Bacterial small subunit ribosomal RNA", at positions 338 to 795 of the family's 1533-position model. The record is from RNAcentral.